Molecule: transfer RNA, 70 nt
Filed under: Erythranthe guttata (spotted monkey flower)
Lineage: Eukaryota; Viridiplantae; Streptophyta; Magnoliopsida; Lamiales; Phrymaceae
Description: Mimulus guttatus (spotted monkey flower) tRNA
Rfam family: tRNA
About the family: Transfer RNA (tRNA) molecules are approximately 80 nucleotides in length. Their secondary structure includes four short double-helical elements and three loops (D, anti-codon, and T loops).
Source: Rfam by way of RNAcentral
GCCGUCUUAGCUCAGCUGGAGUGCAUGGCUUUUAACCAUGUGGUCAUGGGUUCGAUUCCCACAGACGGCG